Molecule: ribosomal RNA, 568 nt
Filed under: uncultured bacterium
Lineage: Bacteria
Description: bacterial SSU rRNA
Rfam family: Bacterial small subunit ribosomal RNA
Source: RNAcentral
GAGUUUGAUCCUGGCUCAGGACGAACGCUGGCGGCGCGCCUAACACAUGCAAGUCGAACGGGACUAUUUUGGGAGAAGUUUUCGGAUGGAUCUCGGGAUAGUUUAGUGGCGGACGGGUGAGUAACACGUGAGCAACCUGCCUUCGAGAGGGGAAUAACGGCUGGAAACGGUCGCUAAUACCGCAUAACAUACUGGAGGGACAUCCCUUUGGUAUCAAAGAUUUUAUCGCUCGGAGAUGGGCUCGCGUCCGAUUAGGUAGUUGGUGAGGUAACGGCUCACCAAGCCGACGAUCGGUAGCCGGACUGAGAGGUCGAACGGCCACAUUGGGACUGAGACACGGCCCAGACUCCUACGGGAGGCAGCAGUGGGGGAUAUUGCACAAUGGGGGAAACCCUGAUGCAGCGACGCCGCGUGUGGGAAGACGGUCCUCUGGAUUGUAAACCACUGUCCCCAGGGACGAAGAUGACGGUACCUGGGGAGGAAGCUCCGGCUAACUACGUGCCAACAGCCGCGGUAAUACGUAGGGAGCGAGCGUUGUCCGGAAUUACUGGGUGUAAAGGGAGCGUAG